Molecule: ribosomal RNA, 434 nt
Filed under: uncultured Lachnospiraceae bacterium
Lineage: Bacteria; Bacillati; Bacillota; Clostridia; Lachnospirales; Lachnospiraceae
Description: partial 16S ribosomal RNA
Rfam family: Bacterial small subunit ribosomal RNA
Source: RNAcentral
ACGGGAGGCAGCAGUGGGGAAUAUUGGACAAUGGGGGAAACCCUGAUCCAGCGACGCCGCGUGAGUGAAGAAGUAUUUCGGUAUGUAAAGCUCUAUCAGCAGGGAAGAUAAUGACGGUACCUGACUAAGAAGCUCCGGCUAAAUACGUGCCAGCAGCCGCGGUAAUACGUAUGGAGCAAGCGUUAUCCGGAUUUACUGGGUGUAAAGGGUGCGUAGGUGGCAUGGUAAGUCAGAUGUGAAAUACCGGGGCUCAACCCCGGAGCUGCAUUUGAAACUGCCAGGCUGGAGUGCAGGAGAGGCAAGCGGAAUUCCUAGUGUAGCGGUGAAAUGCGUAGAUAUUAGGAGGAACACCAGUGGCGAAGGCGGCUUGCUGGACUGUUACUGACACUGAGGCACGAAAGCGUGGGGAGCAAACAGGAUUAGAUACCCUGGUA